GACGGAAGGUGCAAGCGUUACUCGGAAUUACUGGGCGUAAAGCGUCCGCAGGCGUCCUCGUAAGUCUGGCGUAAAAGCACGGAGCUCAACUCCGUGUACGUGUCGGAAACUACAAGGAUUGAGUCAUACAGAGGCAUCUGGAAUAUCGUGUGUAGGGGUAAAAUCCGUUGAUCCACGAUAGAACGCCAAAAGCGAAGGCAGGAUGCUGGGUAUGUACUGACGCUCAGGGACGAAAGCGUGGGGAGCGAACGGG
This 253-nucleotide unclassified non-coding RNA is filed under the name uncultured Candidatus Altimarinota bacterium. RNAcentral's name for it is "uncultured Candidatus Gracilibacteria bacterium contains 16S-23S intergenic spacer region". It matches the Rfam family "Bacterial small subunit ribosomal RNA", at positions 524 to 776 of the family's 1533-position model. Lineage: Bacteria; Candidatus Altimarinota. The record is from RNAcentral.